Molecule: ribosomal RNA, 292 nt
Filed under: uncultured bacterium
Lineage: Bacteria
Description: partial 16S ribosomal RNA
Source: RNAcentral
GGACUACUGGGGUUUCUAAUCCUGUUUGCUCCCCACGCUGUCGCGCAUCAGCGUCAGACAUGGCCCAGCAGGCCGCCUUCGCCACCGGUGUUCUUCCGGAUCUCUACGCAUUCCACCGCUACACCCGGAAUUCCACCUGCCUCUACCAUGCUCCAGCGCGAGAGUAUCGACGGCCGACCCGGGGUUGAGCCCCGAGCUUUCACCGUUGACUCCUCGCGCCGCCUACGCGCCCUUUACGCCCAGUGAUUCCGGACAACGCUCGCACCCUCCGUAUUACCGCGGCUGCUGGCAC